UGCUGACUUGCAUUGCUGGCUAUUCA
Molecule: non-coding RNA, 26 nt
Filed under: Mus musculus (house mouse)
Lineage: Eukaryota; Metazoa; Chordata; Mammalia; Rodentia; Muridae
Source: RNAcentral